GGGCCCGUAGCUCAGUUGGGAGAGCGCUAGAAUCGCACUCUAGAGGCCAGGAGUUCGAGCCUCCUCGGGUCCACCA
This 76-nucleotide transfer RNA is filed under the name Bacillota bacterium. RNAcentral's name for it is "tRNA-Ala". It matches the Rfam family "tRNA". From Rfam's summary of the family: Transfer RNA (tRNA) molecules are approximately 80 nucleotides in length. Their secondary structure includes four short double-helical elements and three loops (D, anti-codon, and T loops). Lineage: Bacteria; Bacillati; Bacillota. The record is from RNAcentral.